CAGUCGCCGCGGUAAUACAGAGGGUGCGAGCGUUAAUCGGAUUUACUGGGCGUAAAGCGUGCGUAGGCGGCUUCUUAAGUCGGAUGUGAAAUCCCUGAGCUUAACUUAGGAAUUGCAUUCGAUACUGGGAAGCUAGAGUAUGGGAGAGGAUGGUAGAAUUCCAGGUGUAGCGGUGAAAUGCGUAGAGAUCUGGAGGAAUACCGAUGGCGAAGGCAGCCAUCUGGCCUAAUACUGACGCUGAGGUACGAAAGCAUGGGGAGCAAACAGGAUUAGAGACCCGCGUAGUCCCUGUCUCUUAUAC
RNAcentral lists this ribosomal RNA (301 nucleotides) under uncultured bacterium. RNAcentral describes it as "partial 16S ribosomal RNA". It matches the Rfam family "Bacterial small subunit ribosomal RNA", at positions 509 to 807 of the family's 1533-position model. The record is from RNAcentral.